GAUGAACGCUGGCGGCGUGCUUAACACAUGCAAGUCGAACGAAGCACUUAAGAUUGAUUCUUCGGAUGACGUCUUUUGUGACUUAGUGGCGGACGGGCGAGUAACGCGUGGGUAACCUGCCUCACACAGGGGGAUAACAGUUAGAAAUGACUGCUAAUACCGCAUAACCCGAUAGGAUCGCAUGAUCCAGACGGAAAAGAUUUAUCGGUGUGAGAUGGACCCGCGUCUGAUUAGCUAGUUGGUGAGGUAACGGCCCACCAAGGCGACGAUCAGUAGCCGGCCUGAGAGGGUGAACGGCCACAUUGGGACUGAGACACGGCCCAAACUCCUACGGGAGGCAGCAGUGGGGAAUAUUGCACAAUGGGGGAAACCCUGAUGCAGCGACGCCGCGUGAGUGAAGAAGUAUUUCGGUAUGUAAAGCUCUAUCAGCAGGGAAGAAAAUGACGGUACCUGACUAAGAAGCCCCGGCUAACUACGUG
RNAcentral lists this ribosomal RNA (479 nucleotides) under uncultured bacterium. Its description in RNAcentral is "partial 16S ribosomal RNA". It matches the Rfam family "Bacterial small subunit ribosomal RNA", at positions 28 to 507 of the family's 1533-position model. The record is from RNAcentral.